RNAcentral lists this ribosomal RNA (397 nucleotides) under uncultured bacterium. RNAcentral's name for it is "bacterial SSU rRNA". It matches the Rfam family "Bacterial small subunit ribosomal RNA", at positions 362 to 776 of the family's 1533-position model. The record is from RNAcentral.
UAUUGCACAAUGGGGGAAACCCUGAUGCAGCGACGCCGCGUGAGCGAUGAAGUAUUUCGGUAUGUAAAGCUCUAUCAGCAGGGAAGAAAAUGACGGUACCUGACUAAGAAGCCCCGGCUAACUACGUGCCAGCAGCCGCGGGAAUCCGUAGGGGGCAAGCGUUAGCCGGAUUUCCUGGGUGUAAAGGGGGCGUAGACGGCUGUGCAAGCCAGAUGUGAAAGCCCGGGGCUCAACCCCGGGACUGCAUUUGGAACUGUGUAGCUGGAGUGUCGGAGAGGCAGGCGGAAUUCCUAGUGUAGCGGUGAAAUGCGUAGAUAUUAGGAGGAACACCAGUGGCGAAGGCGGCCUGCUGGACGAUGACUGACGUUGAGGCUCGAAAGCGUGGGGAGCAAACAGG